CUAACGCAGACAUCCGGAGAGGUUGCUCUCGGCUCUGUCCGUGUGGCAUACGGGAGUGUAGGCCUUCGGGCUCCAUGACGUAUAGUCCCCUUCCACAAUGUUGGAGAACAAGCCGGGCCUCUGGUCUGCAGCCUGCAUAUUCCUAUGGCUUCUCUGAGUCUUUGGACCAUGACAGAGGAGACAAACCAUGCAGGAAACAGCA
Molecule: small nucleolar RNA, 202 nt
Organism: Crocodylus porosus (Australian saltwater crocodile)
Lineage: Eukaryota; Metazoa; Chordata; Crocodylia; Crocodylidae
Gene: SNORA73
Rfam family: Small nucleolar RNA SNORA73 family
About the family: U17 (SNORA73A and SNORA73B) also known as E1 belongs to the H/ACA class of small nucleolar RNAs (snoRNAs). Vertebrate U17 is intron-encoded and ranges in length from 200-230 nucleotides, longer than most snoRNAs.
Source: Ensembl